This 376-nucleotide ribosomal RNA is filed under the name uncultured Desulfobulbus sp. RNAcentral describes it as "bacterial SSU rRNA". It matches the Rfam family "Bacterial small subunit ribosomal RNA", at positions 1012 to 1382 of the family's 1533-position model. Lineage: Bacteria; Pseudomonadati; Thermodesulfobacteriota; Desulfobulbia; Desulfobulbales; Desulfobulbaceae. The record is from RNAcentral.
CCUUUCCAUCUGGAAGAAUCUGGAGACAGGUGCUGCAUGGCUGUCGUCAGCUCGUGUCGUGAGAUGUUGGGUUAAGUCCCGCAACGAGCGCAACCCUUGCCUUUAGUUGCCAGCAGUUCGGCUGGGCACUCUAAAGGGAACUGCCGGUGUUAAACCGGAAGGAAGGUGGGGAGUGACGUCAAGUCCUCAUGGCCUUUAUGACCAGGGCUACACACGUACUACAAUGGCCGAUACAAAGGGCAGCGACACUGCGAGGUGAAGCCAAUCCCGUAAAAUCGGUCUCAGUCCGGAUUGGAGUCUGCAACUCGACUCCAUGAAGUUGGAAUCGCUAGUAAUCGUGGAUCAGCAUGCCACGGUGAAUACGUUCCCGGGCCUU